Molecule: ribosomal RNA, 64 nt
Filed under: Leucophleps spinispora
Lineage: Eukaryota; Fungi; Basidiomycota; Agaricomycetes; Boletales; Leucogastraceae
Description: partial 28S ribosomal RNA
Rfam family: Eukaryotic large subunit ribosomal RNA
Source: RNAcentral
CCUAUGAUCUCAAAUCAGGCGGGACUACCCGCUGAACUUAAGCAUAUCAAUAAGCGGGAGGAAA